Long non-coding RNA from Glycine soja, 3456 nucleotides. RefSeq lists it as uncharacterized. Lineage: Eukaryota; Viridiplantae; Streptophyta; Magnoliopsida; Fabales; Fabaceae. The record is from RefSeq and is a predicted model, not a curated record. The transcript has 6 exons.
UGUUUUUUUAAUGCAUAUUUGUUAUUUCUUCUAAAGUUGCGAUUUUUAUCUCAGAAAGCUUCGAUUUUUAUCUCCAAACUCCAUGUACACAGGUUCGUUUUCUUGCUUUGUCUGUCAAAGUGAAUACAGGUUGGUUUUCUUGCUUUGUCUGUCCAAGCUUCAAUUUUUUUUGUGUUCCUGAGCCUUCUCCGACGUGCUUCCCCCGCCAUUUUUUAUUUUUAUCUCCAAACUCCAUGUACACAGGUUCGUUUUCUUGUUUUCUCUAUCAAAGCAUAAUUUUUUUUGUGUUCCUGUGCUUUCUCUGUCGUGGUUCCCCCCCAUUUUCGUUUUUUUUUCUAAAAAAAGCUUCGAUUUUUGCCUCUAUCCCUGUUGAUGUGGUUUUCAUGUGCUUCGUUUUCUGAAAAAGCUUCGAUUUUUGCCUCAACAUAGGUUCAUUUUGUUGUUUUCUCUCUCAAAGUUUCAAUUUUUUUUUGUGUUCCUCAGCCUUCUCCGCCGUUGCUUUCUCUUGGUUUUCUUGCAUGUUGGGUUCAGAUCUGCGUUUUCUUUUUACCUCUUUUUUCAUUUGUAUGCAUUUUUUAUUUCGAUUUUUUUGUUUUUCACUACAUCUUCAUUGUUUCUUCUAAACGUGUGAGGGUACUGUGAUUCUUUUGUAUUUGGGUUUUUUGUUUUUCCUGUGCUUUGGCAUAUGAUUUUGAAAUUUCGAUUUAUUGUUUUUCACUGCAUGUUCAUGUUUCUUCUAAAGCUGUGAGGGUAUUGUGAUUCUUUUGUAUUUCGGUUUUUUGUUUUUCCUAUGCUUUGGCAUGUGGUUCUUUUAUUUCAAUUUUUUGUUUUUCACUGCAUGUUCAUGUUUCUUCUAAAGCUGUGAGGGUAUUGUGAUUCUUUUGUAUUUCGGUUUUUUGUGGUUCCUGUGCUUUGGCAUGUGAUUCUUUUAUUUCGGUUUUUUGUUUUUCACUGCAUAUUCAUGUUUCUUCUAAAGCUGUGAGGGUAUUGUCAUUCUUUUGUAUUUCGGUCUUUUGUUUUUCCUGUGCUUUGGCAUGUGAUUCUUUUAUCAGGAUGGUUACCUUAAAAUAUUGGGACGGUAUUUGGAGAAAUCUAACAUGUUGAGGCAACCCUUCACAAGGCAAGAGAACCCUUUCAUUCAAACCUGUCUUCUUGCAUCCUCUGCAUAGCCUUUAGCGGUACCUUCUUUCUUUCAUUCUAUUGUAUGCCUUUGUGAAUUUGUUAAUGUUGUUGUCAUAGCUGUAGUGUUAUGAAUUGGUUAGUUUUUGUGAUUUGUCAUCCUUUUUUUUUUUUGUUUUGUUUCAGAUUCUACAAUGUGAUAGUUCGUGUGUAUUAUAUUUGGUUGGACCUUUUGUAUCCAAUGUUGUUGUGUAAAUUGCUUAUUUGUGUUCUACCUUAGUUGUCAAUGACUUUUUUUCGUGCAUGUCUAUGAUUCACUUUUUUUCCAUUUUUUGCUUCUACCUUUCCUGUGUAUUAUAUUAGGUUGUUUCCAUUGUUGUUUUUCCCCUUAUUCGUUUGAUUUUACCUAAGCUUUCUAUGUUCAUCAACACUUUAUAAUGAUUGAUGCCACUGGCUUGAAUUUGUAUUCAUUUUGAAAAAUUAAAUUGCAACCAUUUGCACCAUUUGUAUUCUGUUGUUUAGUUAAUUUUGUUUAUAUUUUCAUAUAUCCUAACUGACAUUGAAUUUUAAUUUUGACCGAGACCAACAAACUACACGAAUAAUAGUGUCUGACAUUUCAAGUACAGGUUUGUUGAAAUUUUAAUAUUGUUUGCAAUCUUUAUUGUCAUGAAUUGAGUUUGGUCUUUGUUUGCAAUUUAUAGUGUCAGCCCUAAUAUGUGGUUGCUUUAGUGUCUUUAGCAUUUGUUGGUUAUGAUUUUUUUCUAUGGGUGUUUACCAAUGUCAUUUGUAGAUAAUAAUUUGUUUGCUUUUGUAGUAGUGGUACAUUUUGAAACACCUACUUAUUAUUUGUGUGUGUAUUCUGUUGUUUCAAAUAUUAAAUUGCACCUUUUGUAUCCAUUACUGCUGAGUAGAUUGCUUAUUUGUGUUCUGCCUUUGCUGUGAAUGACUUUUUUCGUGCAUGUCUAUGAUUAUUAAUUGAUUGGUGGGUUAUGCUCUGAAACAUGUUGGCCUUCGCAACUUAAAGUAUAUAUUAACUUAGCCUUAACAAUAUCAUUCAGGUUUUUUACCUAAGUUGUCUAUGUCAGCUCUAAUCUUUGGUUACUUUGUUAUCUUUAGCAUAUGUUGGUUAUGAUUUUUUCCUGUAGAUGUUUCCCAAUGUUCAACACUACUUUAAAAUGAUUCAUGGCAUUGGGUUCAAUUUGUAUUAAUAUUGGAAAAUAAAAUUCCACCUUUUGUAGUUGAAAAAUUAAGUUGCACCUUUUGUAUUUGCAAAAUUAAUUUAUACAUUCUUUGGUGCAUGUCUAUGAUUCUUUUUUCUUUAGACUUUACCUUUCCUGUGUGUUAUAUUUGGGAGGGUAUUUGGAGAAAUCUAACAUGUUGCAAUAUAUGGAGAAAUCUAACAUGUUGAGGCAACCCUUCAUAAGGCAAGACAACACUGUCAUCCAAACCUGUGUUCUUGCAUCCUCUGCAUAGCCUUUACUGGUAACAUAUAGACGCCUACAAAAUCUCGUCAGUAGAUUUUUUGGAAUUUGUGUUUAUACAGGGCCCAUCAAAUUUACAUGUACCGAGAAUUGUGCACCGAUUUGACGAGUCAUUCCAUCUUGAGCAGAAUGUCAUUGAGGUUCCUUUUGCUUAUCAUAGACAAUGGUCCCCAAAUUAUCCAAGUUAUGUGUUAUUCGACUACGAAGGAGACAAAAGCUUUAUAAAGCUUCAUAAAUAUGGUAACCGAUUCUUUUUUGGCGAUGGACUGAAGGAACUUAGGAGAACCCAUGACAUUCACGAAAGUGUUCUCAUGCCUUUUGUUGGAAGGGACAAAAAUACUACUUUCAGUGUGGAAGUUGUGGGACCUCUACACCAAAGGGCAGCCACAACCAUAAGGCACCAUGUUUUUACCAUUGAUGUCUCUAAAGAUAUGAUACAACACAAUUAUCAAUUGGUUCUGCCACCAGAGGCUUCAAUUUAUUUAACUGCAUAAAAAAAAUAUAUGAUUGUAGAUCGUGGUAGUGGUAGGCAUCACAAAUGGAUGAUCACCAUGAAUAAUGGCCUAUCAUGUGUUGCUGACGCGUGGAUCCAUUAUUUAGGUGACUGUCAUUUGAAGCCUGGAGAUGAGGUCAUCUUCUUCUACAACAUUGACCAACAUUUAUGGGAGGUCCUCUAUAGGAAGCAAGUUAAAUGGGAUGACGAAGAGGAUGAAGCUGAAUCCCCUUGAAGAACUAUUUAAUUACUUAUCUUUGUUUUAUUUUGAUAUAUUAUGUCUGUAACUUAAUUACCCUCGGGUAACGAAUAAUUUUUUUUUUACUUUUGUUUCUAUUUAAACAUUGCUAGCAACACUACAAA